UUGCUUGCCGACUUUAAUCUCUA
RNAcentral lists this non-coding RNA (23 nucleotides) under Arabidopsis thaliana (thale cress). Lineage: Eukaryota; Viridiplantae; Streptophyta; Magnoliopsida; Brassicales; Brassicaceae. The record is from RNAcentral.